Molecule: ribosomal RNA, 468 nt
Filed under: uncultured bacterium
Lineage: Bacteria
Description: partial 16S ribosomal RNA
Rfam family: Bacterial small subunit ribosomal RNA
Source: RNAcentral
GACGAACGCUGGCGGCGUGCUUAACACAUGCAAGUCGAACGGAAAGGCCCUGCUUUUGUGGGGUGCUCGAGUGGCGAACGGGUGAGUAACACGUGAGUAACCUGCCCUUGACUUUGGGAUAACUUCAGGAAACUGGGGCUAAUACCGGAUAGGAGCUCCUGCUGCAUGGUGGGGGUUGGAAAGUUUCGGCGGUUGGGGAUGGACUCGCGGCUUAUCAGCUUGUUGGUGAGGUAGUGGCUUACCAAGGCUUUGACGGGUAGCCGGCCUGAGAGGGUGACCGGCCACAUUGGGACUGAGAGACGGCCCAGACGCCUACGGGAGGCAGCAGUGGGGAAUAUUGCACAAUGGGCGGAAGCCUGAUGCAGCAACGCCGCGUGCGGGAUGACGGCCUUCGGGGUGUAAACCGCUGUCGCCUGUGACGAAGAGUGAGUGACGGUAAUGGGUAAAGAAGCACCGGCUAACUACGUG